UGGGGAAUUUUGGACAAUGGGCGAAAGCCUGAUCCAGCAAUGCCGCAUGUGUGAAGAAGGCCUUCGGGUUGUAAAGCACUUUUGUCCGGAAAGAAAUCCUUGGCUCUAAUACAGUCGGGGGAUGACGGUACCGGAAGAAUAAGCACCGGCUAACUACGUGCCAGCAGCCGCGGUAAUACGUAGGGUGCAAGCGUUAAUCGGAAUUACUGGGCGUAAAGCGUGCGCAGGCGGUUUGCUAAGACCGAUGUGAAAUCCCCGGGCUCAACCUGGGAACUGCAUUGGUGACUGGCAGGCUAGAGUAUGGCAGGAGGGGGGUAGAAUUCCACGUGUAGCAGUGAAAUGCGUAGAGAUGUGGAGGAAUACCGAUGGCGAAGGCAGCCCCCUGGGCCAAUACUGACGCUCAUGCACGAAAGCGUGGGGAGCAAACAGGAUUAGAUACCCUGGUAGUCCACGCCCUAAACGAUGUCAACUAGUUGUUGGGGAUUCAUUUCCUUAGUAACGUAGCUAACGCGUGAAGUUGACCGCCU
RNAcentral lists this ribosomal RNA (527 nucleotides) under uncultured bacterium. RNAcentral describes it as "partial 16S ribosomal RNA". It matches the Rfam family "Bacterial small subunit ribosomal RNA", at positions 355 to 874 of the family's 1533-position model. The record is from RNAcentral.